Molecule: ribosomal RNA, 436 nt
Filed under: uncultured bacterium
Lineage: Bacteria
Description: bacterial SSU rRNA
Rfam family: Bacterial small subunit ribosomal RNA
Source: RNAcentral
GGCGAACGGGUGAGUAACACGUGGGUAAUCUGCCCUCGGCACUGGGAUAGCCCGGGGAAACCCGGAUUAAUACCGGAUGGCCUUUCGAGUCCUCGGACUCGUCAGAAAAGGUGGCUUCGGCUUCCGGCUGAGGAUGAGCCCGCGGCGGAUUAGCUUGUUGGUGGGGUAACGGCCCACCAAGGCGACGAUCCGUAGCUGGUCUGAGAGGACGAUCAGCCACACUGGGACUGAGACACGGCCCAGACUCCUACGGGAGGCAGCAGUGGGGAAUCUUGCGCAAUGGGCGAAAGCCUGACGCAGCGACGCCGCGUGCGGGAAGAAGGCCUUCGGGUUGUAAAACCGCUUUCAGGAGGGACGAAAGCCACUCGGGUUAAUACCCCAGAGGGUGACGGUACCUCCAGAAGAAGCCCCGGUAACUACGUGCCAGCCGCCGCGG